CGGCACGGGUGAGUAACACGUAUCCAACCUGCCGUCUACUCUUGGACAGCCUUCUGAAAGGAAGAUUAAUACAAGAUGGCAUCAUGAGUCCGCAUGUUCACAUGAUUAAAGGUAUUCCGGUAGACGAUGGGGAUGCGUUCCAUUAGAUGGUAGGCGGGGUAACGGCCCACCUAGUCUUCGAUGGAUAGGGGUUCUGAGAGGAAGGUCCCCCACAUUGGAACUGAGACACGGUCCAA
This 236-nucleotide ribosomal RNA is filed under the name uncultured bacterium. RNAcentral's name for it is "partial 16S ribosomal RNA". It matches the Rfam family "Bacterial small subunit ribosomal RNA", at positions 100 to 334 of the family's 1533-position model. The record is from RNAcentral.